GACGAACGCUGGCGGCGUGCUUAACACAUGCAAGUCGAACGGAAAGGCCCCUUUGGGGGUGCUCGAGUGGCGAACGGGCGAGUAACACGUGAGUAAGCUGCCCUUGACUUCGGGUUAACUUCAGGAAACUGGGGCGAAUACCGGCUAGGAAUCCUUUCUGCCUGGAGGGGGUUGGAAAACUUUGGGGGGUUUGGGUGGACGCGCGGCCUAUCUGCUUGUUGGUGGGGGAGUGGCUUACCAAGGCAUUGACUGGUGGCCGGCCUGGGAGGGCGACCGGCCACAAUGGGACUGAGAUAACGGCCCGACCCCCACGGGGGGGCAGAGGGGGGAAUAUUGCACAAAGGGCGGGAGGCCGAAGGAAGAACCGCGGGGGCGGGGAUACGGGCUUUGGGUUGUAAACCGCUUUCAGCAGGGGCCGAGCUUGUAGUGACGGUACCUGGUGAAGAAGCACCGGCUAACUACGUG
RNAcentral lists this ribosomal RNA (465 nucleotides) under uncultured bacterium. Its description in RNAcentral is "partial 16S ribosomal RNA". It matches the Rfam family "Bacterial small subunit ribosomal RNA", at positions 28 to 507 of the family's 1533-position model. The record is from RNAcentral.